UUGGGGAGGAGACGCCCUUUGGUUGGUCCUGGCAAGGACCGUGUUUCGGUCGCAGGCACUGUGGGAAACGGAAAAAGAAAGCGAAUUCGAAUAAGACAGCCCCGGUGGAGCCAUGCUUCUUAUGCAGGUGUUUUCCCUUCUUUGCAGGGUUCUGCCUCAAAAUCAGAUGUCUUUCCCACCGCCGUCUAGCAUACGUGCAGGGCUUGAAAGCGCGUUAUGGGGGACUUCCCAGUGCAGAAGCGAAGAGAAGAUGCCUGUAACACUGAUGCCAACAGAAGGAGGCACCCUUGGUUGGUGCGUACAGGGCCCAGUGACAGACGAAGAGGGACUUUAACCACCAACUCAGCUUAGGAGGAAGCCAAGAAUGAAGGUUUUCUAUCUCUCAGCCUUAUGGUAAGGCCAACAGAUCAGAGGUGACUGCCAUUGGAAAAACAGCUUGUUACAAUUUCCAAUAAGAGGGGCACAUCACCCAUGGAGGACCACAUAGAGAAAUGCGGGGGUCAGUCAAGAGGCUGAAGGAACAAGGGAAGCAUGGGCAGAAGCCUUUAUUGUGGUUUCUAUGGAAAAGGCAAUGCGAGGUAAGGUAGGUAGGGUUAGAAUUGACGAGUUUGAAUAAUUUUAGAGGGCUCUGGGCAGGGAGGUUAUCUCUAGCUGCCUGUUGUCCAGCCCCGGGGAGAUUAAUGCAGAGAAGUACUGUCCUUUGGGGUGAAAGAGCCCAGAAAGGAGGUAGUUUAGGGCAGGGACUGUGGAUAGCCUAGUUUACGUAUGACAGUUGAGUCAUUUGCUAUCUCUAAGAAUUGGCUGUCUCUAAGAGGGCCAGUCUCUCUCGAGGCGGAGAGGCCCCAGAUGCCUGAGAGUCAGGAAUACAGAAAAUAAGAAAAUAUAGUACAUACAACAAUUAACAUAUACCCUUGAACUCACAAUGUGUGUGUAAAUAAAUGAAAUCAGUAGUGAUAAAGAGAAAUUAUCCUAACUCUGACAUUGGUAUUAAUUUAUGACAUUGGUAAUUAAUUUAUUGGUAUUAACCACAUGAUGUGGUUAGCUGAUAGUUUUAUACAUAAAUACUACCAAAUAUCAAUCAGGAGGAAAUACCAAAAUUGAUCUAAGUAUUGGCUGUUUUUUUCAUUAUUGAAAAACUAUGAUAGGGUCACAAACUUAAAGAUAAAUGUUUUCCUGCAAGGUUGAGAUUAUACUUACUUUUUUUCAAAUUUAGACUGAAAAGGAUCUAUUUUAGGCACAUGCUUUUCCAGCAAAAAUUAGUUUUGUUUCCUUCUAAACAGUUUUCACUUUAUGUGAAUAUUUAUUUAAAAUAAUGUGUAAAAAGGUUUUACAUCAGAAUUUGAAUAUUAAGAACCACGUGAUCUUUCUUUCAAUUUUUUUUUAAUGUUUAUUUAUGAGACAGAGAGAGACAGAGCAUGAGUGGGGGAGGGGC
Molecule: long non-coding RNA, 1432 nt
Organism: Lynx canadensis (Canada lynx)
Lineage: Eukaryota; Metazoa; Chordata; Mammalia; Carnivora; Felidae
Exons: 3
Source: RefSeq, a predicted model, not a curated record